AUUGAACGCUGGCGGCAGGCCUAACACAUGCAAGUCGAACGCGUGGCGGACGGGUGAGUAAUGUCUGGGAAACUUCCCGCUGGAGGGGGAUAACUCAUGGAAAAGGUAGCUAAUACCGCAUACCCUCUUAUGUUCCCAGAUGGGAUUAGCUCGUGGGUGGGGUAACGGAUCACCUAGGCGACGAUCCCUAGCUGGUCUGAGAGGAGGACCAGCAACACGGGAACUGAGACACGGUCCAGACUCCUACGGGAGGCAGCAGUGGGGAAUAUUGCACAAUGGGCGCAAGCCUGAUGCAGCCAUGCCGCGUGUAUGAAGAAGGCCUUCGGGUUGUAAAGUAAUUUCAGCGAGGAGGCGUUACUCGCAGAAGAAGCACCGGCUAACUCCGUGCCAGCAGCCGCGGUAAUAC
This 406-nucleotide ribosomal RNA is filed under the name uncultured bacterium. RNAcentral describes it as "partial 16S ribosomal RNA". It matches the Rfam family "Bacterial small subunit ribosomal RNA", at positions 30 to 526 of the family's 1533-position model. The record is from RNAcentral.